CAGAGCCUGGUGUGAUGAUCAUAGACUUACUCAGUUCUGAAAUCUGAGGAUGUCAAGAAUAAGGAGAAAAACAUGGUACGAUAAACACGAAAUAACAAAAGUGUAAAUAUGUGCAAUGGUCUAAGUGCUUUUGAAGUUUUUGAAGGAAGAAAAAUAAUGUUUGCUCAGCUGAAAAUGCAACUUGGUUUUUUGAUUCUAAAGUCAAUGAUAUAUGGUUUUUUGCUGUUAACAAAUAGCAAAGAGCAGAAGGAAAGGAAUCUAUGAAUCACAGACAUGGAUACUGGAGACUAUCACAUGUAAACUGACAUGACAGGAACAUAGAUACUGCUACAAUUCUAAUCUCCAAAACAUAGAGAAGGUCUAAAAGAGGAUCAAUAGCACAUGAAAUGUGAGGUGGAGGAAGGAGCACCAACAACAUUUGUGCAGACGUUGCAUCCACCAUUGGUGUUUUUGGUUUGAUCACUCACCCAGAGAUGAAAAGACAGGGAUUCAAAUUUCUAGCUAGACAGAUUUAUAUAUGAUUUUUCUAUUCAAAUUAUAUGCAGAUGCCAGAA
Molecule: small RNA, 554 nt
Filed under: Vigna angularis var. angularis
Lineage: Eukaryota; Viridiplantae; Streptophyta; Magnoliopsida; Fabales; Fabaceae
Description: Non-protein coding transcript
Source: RNAcentral